Molecule: ribosomal RNA, 540 nt
Filed under: Staphylococcus capitis
Lineage: Bacteria; Bacillati; Bacillota; Bacilli; Caryophanales; Staphylococcaceae
Description: partial 23S ribosomal RNA
Rfam family: Bacterial large subunit ribosomal RNA
Source: RNAcentral
UACAAGUCGAGCAGGGUCGAAAGACGGACUUAGUGAUCCGGUGGUUCCGCAUGGAAGGGCCAUCGCUCAACGGAUAAAAGCUACCCCGGGGAUAACAGGCUUAUCUCCCCCAAGAGUUCACAUCGACGGGGAGGUUUGGCACCUCGAUGUCGGCUCAUCGCAUCCUGGGGCUGUAGUCGGUCCCAAGGGUUGGGCUGUUCGCCCAUUAAAGCGGUACGCGAGCUGGGUUCAGAACGUCGUGAGACAGUUCGGUCCCUAUCCGUCGUGGGCGUAGGAAAUUUGAGAGGAGCUGUCCUUAGUACGAGAGGACCGGGAUGGACAUACCUCUGGUGUACCAGUUGUCGUGCCAACGGCAUAGCUGGGUAGCUAUGUAUGGACGGGAUAAGUGCUGAAAGCAUCUAAGCAUGAAGCCCCCCUCAAGAUGAGAUUUCCCAACUUCGGUUAUAAGAUCCCUCGAAGAUGACGAGGUUAAUAGGUUCGAGGUGGAAGCGUGGUGACACGUGGAGCUGACGAAUACUAAUCGAUCGAAGACUUAAUCAA